UUGCACAAGUUGUAGUUGCUACUACUUUCAUAGUACGGCAAUAUAUUUGUUUGUGUUACUGACUUCGUCAAGUUGAGCAACUUGAUUAGAUUUCUGAAGCAUUGUAUCUGUUUGUUGUUACAAUUUGCAAGUCCUAAAUUUGUUCAAAAAGCACUGAUUG
RNAcentral lists this unclassified non-coding RNA (160 nucleotides) under Lepidocyrtus lignorum. RNAcentral's name for it is "sequence contains ITS2". The record is from RNAcentral. Lineage: Eukaryota; Metazoa; Arthropoda; Collembola; Entomobryomorpha; Entomobryidae.